UACAGGGGGGGCAAGCGUUGUUCGGAAUUACUGGGCGUAAAGGGCUCGUAGGUGGCCAACUAAGUCAGACGUGAAAUCCCUCAGCUUAACUGGGGAACUGCGUCUGAUACUGGAUGGCUUGAGUUUGGGAGAGGGAUGCGGAAUUCCAGGUGUAGCGGUGAAAUGCGUAGAUAUCUGGAGGAAUACCGGUGGCGAAGGCGGCAUCCUGGACCGACAUUGACGCUGAACGGCGAAAGCUAGGGGAGCAAACGGG
RNAcentral lists this ribosomal RNA (253 nucleotides) under uncultured bacterium. RNAcentral's name for it is "partial 16S ribosomal RNA". It matches the Rfam family "Bacterial small subunit ribosomal RNA", at positions 524 to 776 of the family's 1533-position model. The record is from RNAcentral.